This 468-nucleotide ribosomal RNA is filed under the name uncultured bacterium. RNAcentral describes it as "partial 16S ribosomal RNA". It matches the Rfam family "Bacterial small subunit ribosomal RNA", at positions 28 to 507 of the family's 1533-position model. The record is from RNAcentral.
GACGAACGCUGGCGGCGUGCUUAACACAUGCAAGUCGAACGGAAAGGCCCUGCUUUUGUGGGGUGCUCGAGUGGCGAACGGGUGAGUAACACGUGAGUAACCUGCCCUUGACUUUGGGAUAACUUCAGGAAACUGGGGCUAAUACCGGAUAGGAGCUCCUGCUGCAUGGUGGGGGUUGGAAAGUUUCGGCGGUUGGGGAUGGACUCGCGGCUUAUCGGCUUGUUGGUGGGGUAGUGGCUUACCAAGGCUUUGACGGGUAGCCGGCCUGAGAGGGUGACCGGCCACAUUGGGACUGAGAUACGGCCCAGACUCCUACGGGAGGCAGCAGUGGGGAAUAUUGCACAAUGGGGGGAAGCCUGAUGCAGCAACGCCGCGUGCGGGAUGACGGCCUUCGGGUUGUAAACCGCUUUCGCCUGUGACGAAGCGUGAGUGACGGUAAUGGGUAAAGAAGCACCGGCUAACUACGUG